Molecule: long non-coding RNA, 594 nt
Filed under: Trifolium pratense (red clover)
Lineage: Eukaryota; Viridiplantae; Streptophyta; Magnoliopsida; Fabales; Fabaceae
Description: long non-coding RNA (TPRA_LNC010391)
Source: RNAcentral
CUUCAAUUGUUUAUGAUUCUCAUCAUAUUAAAAGGUAGGAAAUUCAAAAUUGUUUUGAAUUCAUAACUAACUUGAUGGUUGGUGUCUUUGCAGGUAUAACACAUUUGUUUUACUCAUACUGGACUUAUUCCAUAUUGAGUUUUGUUCCUUAUUUUUUAUUUUGUUCCUUUUUUAGUUUGUAAAUGUUAUUGUUUUCCCUUUUUAUCCUCUCAUUUUGUCCUUUCUUAAGGUAAUUUUCAGAGAUUGUUUUAUACUAUAGCAGAUUUUUGUUUAUACUAUUUAUUUGUAGAAAUUGGUUUAUACUAUAGCAGGUUUUGAAGACUAUAACAGAUAAAGUGGGCACUGAUGGUUUCUUUCAUAAUUGAAUGGGCAAUUAUCACAUCAAUGAAUUCACGGGGCUGUGCAACUACACUUUAAGGAAUGAAAUAGGAGUGACAAUUUUGGUUGCUAGAGGUGAACCUAUAUCAUGUUGAAUAAAUAUCAUAUUGUAUAAUUUUCCUUAUGUUACCUCUUUGGUUCUUAUGCAACACUUAGAUCACUUAGAUGCAUGUAGAUCUUUUUAAUUUUGUUGUCCUUGGUGACAUAAUUUUUCUG